UAGGGAAUAUUGCAAAAUGGGCGAAAGCCCGAUGCAGCAACGCCGCGUGGGCGAUGAAGGCCUUCGGGUCGUAAAGCCCUUUUUGAGGGGAUGAGGAAGGACAGUACCCUCAGAAUAAGCCUCGGCUAACUACGUGCCAGCAGCCGCGGUAAAACGUAGGAGGCGAGCGUUAUCCGGAUUUACUGGGCGUAAAGCGCGUGCAGGCGGAUUGGAGAGUUGGAUGUGAAAGCUCCCGGCUUAACUGGGAGAGGUCGUUCAAUACUUCCAGUCUUGAGUGCAGUAGAGGGAAGUGGAAUUCCGGGUGUAGUGGUGAAAUGCGUAGAUAUCCGGAGGAACACCAGUGGCGAAAGCGGCUUCCUGGACUGUAACUGACGCUCAGACGCGAAAGCUAGGGUAGCA
Molecule: ribosomal RNA, 399 nt
Filed under: uncultured bacterium
Lineage: Bacteria
Description: bacterial SSU rRNA
Rfam family: Bacterial small subunit ribosomal RNA
Source: RNAcentral